Cotesia glomerata is the source of this 555-nucleotide long non-coding RNA. RefSeq lists it as uncharacterized. The record is from RefSeq and is a predicted model, not a curated record. The transcript is spliced from 2 exons. Lineage: Eukaryota; Metazoa; Arthropoda; Insecta; Hymenoptera; Braconidae.
ACUUCUUCGUGUUUUAAUUUAUGGACAGACUACUGCUAAAGGAUCUAUAUGUAAAAUGGCAUCUGCUUUAUUGACUAAAAGUGUUGAAACACAUUAUUCCGGCACUGGAAAAAUUAUAAAAGGAACUGGAAAACUCAACUUCAGUAGUACAGAAAGUUUUAAAUGCAUGAUAGUAAUGGACCAAUAUUUGUUGGAAUAAUCGGUGGAUAAUUAAAAACUAUUAAUGGGCCGAUAAUUUAAAUAGUACGUGGCCCAUUACUGGGGCCGUUAAUCGGCCGAUGAUCAACUGCCAUUAAUGGGCCGGGGUUAUCAUUUGUAUAUUCAGCCGACGAUGAGCCAUUAAAAGAUGCCAAUGUCCGGCCGUUAAUUAUCAUCCUUCGCCCGGCGAUGGGCCAUCCGAGAGCCGGUUUUCAAACUUUGUAUGGGAUACUCCGUUUUCGAACUCAUAAACCAUUACUUUCUGUUAUAUUAAAAGUUCUUAAGUGAUAAGUUGUAAAUUGAGACCUGUUCACCCCAUAGAGCCUUUAAAAUUGAAUAUAUAUGUGAAAAUCCGAA